Small nuclear RNA from Hippopotamus amphibius kiboko, 132 nucleotides. The record is from RefSeq and is a predicted model, not a curated record. Lineage: Eukaryota; Metazoa; Chordata; Mammalia; Artiodactyla; Hippopotamidae.
GUGUUUGAUGAAAGGAGAGGGUUAGCACUUUCCUUGACGAGGAUGGAAGAGGCCCCAGGCCUGACAACAAUACAUAUGGUUAACACACAUACGCACUGCCACCUACUCUGUGGCAUCUAACCAUGGCUUUUA